CGCUAAAAAGCUAGCCCAAGAUCAGGGGAUAAUACCUCAAUAUAAUCCUCCCCAAAUAAUUUCAAGCAAGUACGUAAAUCAUUUUUCCCUCCUAGUACGGGCGACGGAAAAGAGACCCAGCGAGCGAUAGAUAUAGUACCGUAAGGGAAAGCUGAAAAAGGAAUGAAAGAGCCCAUUUAAGCUUCAAGAAGCAGAGAUCUAAACUCGUACCUUUUGCAUCAUGAAUUAGCUAGUCCACCCAAGCAAAGAGCCCUUUAGUUUGACACCCCGAAACUGAGGCGAGCUACUUCAAGACAGCCUAUUGUAGGGCAAACCCGUCUCUGUUGCAAAAGGGUGGGAAGAGCUUUGAGUAGAGGUGAUAAACCUAACGAGCCCGGUGAUAGCUGGUUUCCUGGGAAAUGGAUAGAAGUUCAGCCCCCCAACUUAUUACGCCACCCCGGCAUACUAAGCCCGGGCUUUAAUAAGUUAGAGGAGUUAGUCAAAGGAGGUACAGCUCCUUUGAGAAAGAUACAACUUUUCCAGGUGGGUAAGGAUCAUACUUAUUAAGGCAGGUGCCUGAGUGGGCCUAAAAGCAGCCACCUCUGAAGAAAGCGUUAAAGCUGAAGCACGUAUUACAGCCCCCUAUAAUGAUUAUAUUUCCAACCCCCCUGCCCCCACACCAGGACCUCUCAUGCGACCAUGAAAGAGACCAUGCUAAUAUGAGUAACAAGGGGGCACUCAUAGACCCCCUCCUAGCACGCGUGUACAUCGGAACGGACCAACCUCCGACUAUUAAACGGCCCCAACAGCAGAGGGAAAUGAACAACAAAUUAUAAACUGGAAGUGCGUUCAUAUUAUGCCGUUGAUCCUACACUGGGGUGCUUAAAAGGAAAGACUAAAAGGAAGAGAAGGAACUCGGCAAGCAAAAGCCCCGCCUGUUUACCAAAAACAUCGCCUCUUGCAGCAAUAAGAAUAAGAGGUCCCGCCUGCCCUGUGACAUCUGUUUAACGGCCGCGGUAUUCUGACCGUGCAAAGGUAGCGCAAUCACUUGUCUUUUAAAUGAAGACCUGUAUGAAUGGCACGACGAGGGCUUAACUGUCUCCUUUUCCUAGUCAGUGAAAUUGAUCUUCCCGUGCAGAAGCGGGAAUGACAUCAUAAGACGAGAAGACCCUGUGGAGCUUAAGACAUGAGCAGAGCAAGCUGAAUGCUUUCAAUUAAAAAAGUUAAACUUGUGCCCCCUGCUUUUAAGUGUCUUUGGUUGGGGCGACCGCGGGGAAAGCAAAACCCCCAUGUGGAACGAGAGAACAUCUCUUUAAAGCCGAGAACCCCAGUUCUAGGCAACAGAAUAUUCUGACCAAAACGAUCCGGCUGAGGCCGAUCAACGGACUGAGUUACCCCAGGGAUAACAGCGCAAUCCCCUUUGAGAGCCCAUAUCGACAAGGGGGUUUACGACCUCGAUGUUGGAUCAGGACAUCCUAAUGGUGCAGCCGCUAUUAAGGGUUCGUUUGUUCAACGAUUAAAGUCCUACGUGAUCUGAGUUCAGACCGGAGUAAUCCAGGUCAGUUUCUAUCUAUGGAGUGAUCUUUUCUAGUACGAAAGGACCGAGAAGGAGAGGCCCAUGCUACGGGCACGCCUCACCCCCACCUAGAUGAAGGCAACUUAAGUAGGUUAAAGGGCAUGCCCUUUAGCCUAAAAGAACGGCGU
RNAcentral lists this ribosomal RNA (1683 nucleotides) under Danacetichthys galathenus. RNAcentral describes it as "16S rRNA". It matches the Rfam family "Bacterial large subunit ribosomal RNA". The record is from RNAcentral. Lineage: Eukaryota; Metazoa; Chordata; Actinopteri; Beryciformes; Cetomimidae.